RNAcentral lists this ribosomal RNA (265 nucleotides) under uncultured bacterium. Its description in RNAcentral is "partial 16S ribosomal RNA". It matches the Rfam family "Bacterial small subunit ribosomal RNA", at positions 793 to 1055 of the family's 1533-position model. The record is from RNAcentral.
GUCCACGCCCUAAACGAUGUCUACUAGUUGUUGGGGUAGCAAUACCUCAGUGACGCAGCUAACGCGUGAAGUAGACCGCCUGGGGAGUACGGUCGCAAGAUUAAAACUCAAAGGAAUUGACGGGGGCCCGCACAAGCGGUGGAUUAUGUGGAUUAAUUCGAUGCAACGCGAAAAACCUUACCUGUCCUUGACAUGCCACUAACGAAGCAGAGAUGCAUUAGGUGCCCGAAAGGGAAAGUGGACACAGGUGCUGCAUGGCUGUCGU